Acipenser ruthenus (sterlet) is the source of this 2733-nucleotide long non-coding RNA. RefSeq lists it as uncharacterized. The transcript has 2 exons. Lineage: Eukaryota; Metazoa; Chordata; Actinopteri; Acipenseriformes; Acipenseridae. The record is from RefSeq and is a predicted model, not a curated record.
UGUUUGGAUCACACACUGACGUCAUUAUACCUGGCAAGCAGAUUUCAAAAAAAUGUACACAAACUGAACCAUUAACAGCAAUGCGUUACACGAUACAGUACAGUUCACGGAAACGCAACAUUAUAUUUGAGUGUUAAAUUAAACAAUUAAAUGGUAAUCCUAAAUGACACAGCCGCAUCUAGGGGACAAUAACCCGACCCAGUCGAUUAAUUUGAUUUAGGCAGGGACAAACCUCCUUAUUAUCAUUAAUAGCCCUUAAAAUUGGUGCUUUGUACAGGUCUUGAUUUAUGUGCCGGUAAUAACAAACAAACACAUUCGAAGUUUAGCCGGAGGACUUUAGGACCCGGAAGCGCUGCCGCCGAGCCUCCCUUCAUCAUCACCCGUUCAUAACGCUAAUGUUUACAGUCAUGCAUUCGGGGCAUUCUCGGUUUCUUUUAUCUUUAUUGUCUCUUAUUCCUUUAACGAACUGUCAGAAUGGAGAAUCCCGGAUCAGGGAACGCCCGUUUGCGGUUUUGCAGCAUCAGAACCUGGCUCUGCUGAUCGGAGUGUUCAGUGUGCUGUUGGUGGUGAUGGUCGUGAUGGCAGUCUGUGUUUACAGACCUCUACGUCGGCGAUAACCAAGAGAGCAGAGUGGCACAGAAAUGCCACGCCAGCCACAGCACGGAGGGGCGGGAUCCCCUGGUUCCACUCCUGCUGUACCCCCACUAACUCACUCCAGCCUCACCAGGACUGCAAGCUAACCCAAUACUCACAAACGCACUCCAGGGCCAUUCUCUUUCCAUUCCGGGCCAGGCCACACCAGCCCCGCAAACUCACACACCUCACUAACUGCAGAGCCUGCCCACUGUGUGUUAAACAUAUGAGAUUUGUCUGUGUGAUGUCACUGGACUUCCGAAAGGCACUGUUAAAUUUGGGUUUGGAUGUUAACAGCACCUAAUGGUGUCCGAAUGGUUUAACUGUUAGAUGCCUUUGUUUUUUGUAAUUUAAUUUGCCGUUCAUGAGACAAACUGGAAUGCCAAAACUCACAAGAUUUCAAGUAAUAAGGGAACCUUGUGUAAAAUAUUCCUUAUCAAUAUUCCUUAUCCAAAUGUAUCUUCAUAGAGUUUAUUUAUUUCAUUUGUGUUAUGGUAUUUUGUGACAGAUGUACAGUAAUCGUCCACUAUCUCUGUCCAGCUUAAUUGCUGAGGUAAUUGAAACCGCAGCUAAAAAGUUUGUUCAUGUCAGCAGUUAUUCUUUCAGUGUAAUUAACUCCCUGCAUUGUGCAGAGCUGCUGUUUAACUGCAGUGGAACCAGUGACGUGAACACCCAGUAUUAAAUCAUGAUCCGUCAGGAACAGUUUAUGAAAUCGGUACAUCUUUAACUCGGUAAAAAGUUCAUAGGGAUCAUUAUUUAUAUUCUUUUUUUUUUUUUGGAGGGGGGGGGGGGCUUUUAGGAGUUUGAAAAGUCAAACAAUAUGUCAGAUAUGCCCUAGUGGAUUUUCUAAUUGAUGUCUUAAUCAUGUCUUUUAUUGAGAGCACACAUGGAUACGUUCCACUGGGCUGCAGCCAAGAGAAAUAAGCUGGGGAAAUAUCCCUUAGAUGAACUGAUUUCACCGCUGCACUGACCUGCGCUGAGCAGCUGCUGCUACUGCAUGCUGCAGGGAUAUGUCAAAGUGUGCCGAACCAAAUCGCACUGGUUAGUGCAGCAGUGUGGAACUGCUCCAGUUAUUCUGUAGCUAAAGCUUCCAGACAGACAUUAAGAAAGAGAGAAGAUGAUAAUGCAUGGAUCACAAACACACCACCGCCGUGGAGUCAGUCUGAACCCUACAUUGAUGGUUCUUGGCUGAACUACAGCUGUGGACAAGAGCAAUGUCUAUCUUAACAAUAGAUAAUAGUGACCAGGGCCUACAGCAAACCUUAGCUAGCUGCUGAUCUUGAAACUCGUCAGAUGAUGGCACCAAAAUGGGGAAAAAAGAUUGUAGGACCAUCGCGAGUCAUAAAGGGCUGAUGCCAGAAUGUUUUGUUGUAUAAACUCACUGUUGUGGGCACAGUUUGUCUUGAAAGUUUCCCACAUCAAGCAAAUGGCAGCAUGCUCACGCAACAUCUAUUGGCAGAUGUUUGAAACGGUCAAGUGAUUUUGUGGCUUGGGGCUUAGAUCAGUAUGGUUGCUCGGCAGAGCCUACUGGUUGAGUACCUGGUUUGAAGAAAGCCUGCUUGAUCAGGAUCCUCAUGGACCAUGUGUGUUUUUUAUGUUUUAUCCUUUUCAUAAAACUAGACCCUGCUUGGUAGCAUUUCUAUUGACACUAAACUACACAUAAUUUGUAUUUUUUUUAAAAAUUAUUUUUAUGUUGCCAUAUGCACUAGUUGAUAUGGGCAUUAUUGUCCUUAUGAAGAUGCUGUUUUUGGAAAGUGCUGGACAAGAGAGUAUUGCAAUGUCAUUAUUUAUUAGUAGGUACUGUUGGGUAAAGGCUCGCUAUAAAUCUUGAGCCCAUCUUUACCGGGAUACUGUAAAUGCUGCUGUUUGGUUUUGUAUCAUUUGAACUGCACUUUCUUAAAUUUUAAUUGAUAUAUUUUUUUUUUCUAGGUUUAUUUUGUAAAACUUUUAACCUUUUAUUUUUUUAAUUGUGACAAACAUAUUAACCAUCUCGCAUUCCCAAAUGCUUAUAAAUUCCCUUUAUUUAUUUUAACAUUACGUUUUUUUCUUUCUAUUAUGAGCUGUACUGUAAUAAAUACAAAGUAAAAGCUUCAGUUUGAA